Equus asinus (donkey) is the source of this 7053-nucleotide long non-coding RNA. The record is from Ensembl. NCBI's taxonomy places the organism in Eukaryota, Metazoa, Chordata, Mammalia, Perissodactyla, Equidae.
GCCAGGGUAGGGCCUCGAGCUGGGGGGCAGUGAGGAUGGGAAACGCUCCCAGCCCCAGUCAGCGGCUCCCGGGGGGGUGGGGGUUCAGUGAAUGAGUCAAGCGGCUUUUGUUCCUCUUGUUUUCGCUCAUUCCGUGAAGGAUUUCUCUUGACUCAUGAUUUCCCAACCAGCUCCUUCUGCAGCUUAAGAAAGCAAGAGUGAAUAAUUGCUCUGGUUUUUUGCUGCUUGGGUUUUUUCCUUCAUUACAGGAAUGUGUAAACACCCUGGGUUUUCAGAGACCGGCUGCCAAACCCCGCGUCGGAGGCUCCUCCUGCUUUCGGGCAAUGGCUGGCAUCCUCGCUGGGGGAACUGGGCUGACCCUGCUGGCGAGGGCUGACCCUCACCAAGUCGUCAAGGACCCUGGCCUGGGAGAGGUGGUGGAGGCCAUGCCAGAACUUCUUACCCGUCUGUUAUGGGCUGAAUCGUGUUCCCCUCAAAAUGCAUAUGUUGAAGGCCUAAUCUCCAGGACCUCAGAACGCGGCUGUUGCUGGAGAUAAGGUCUUUGAAGACGUGAUUAAGUUAGAAUGAGGUCAUCAGGGUGGGUCCUGAUCCACUAGGCCUGGUGUCUUUACAAGAAGAGGAGAUCAGGACACAGACACGCACAGAGGGACGACCACGUGAGGACACAGGGAGAGGACGGCCAUCUGCCGGCCAAGGAGGGAGGCCCCCGGAGAAACCAACGUGCUGACACCUUGGUCUUGUACUUCCAGCCUCCAAGACCCUGCGGUUUAAGGCCCUGGCUUGUGGCGCUUUGUUACAGCCACCUGAGCUGACUUAUACAGCAUCCUUGCCCUCUCUGUGCCCAGGAGAGGAGCCUUCCCUGCCCCCUUACCACACCCAUGACUGGGCAGUAAAUCCCCACGGCUGGGCGAGGCUGACAGCCCCAGUCUCCUUGUGCUCCAGCUCUGGGGAGAUGCUGGGGGGCAGGUAUCUCUACUGCUCAGCAGCCCUAGGUGGGAGGCAUGAGGGAGCAGAGAGGCCUAGGUGGGCAAGCGAGCCCAGCAGAAUCCCACACGGAGAAUGCGGGUGAGAAGGAGCCUGUGCCAUCUGCCUCGUGUUCUGGGGGGACUCACACUCCCUGGCUUUCCCGGUUGUCCCCUUGCACUCAGAAGUGGCAUGGUGCAGGGCCGGGAACGAACAGCUGGACGCACACAGAUCGGCUUCUCAUGAAGUCUCCAUUUCACGUGUGGCCUUCUGCCGCGGCCCCUGCUCCUCUCAGCUGCCUUGUGAGGGAAGUCACCCCCGGACAGAGCCAGAAGUUCUGGGAAGAGAACUGAAGGACCUUCGUCACUGCCACCCACCGCCUUCUCCACCAAGACGCCCCUGACCGCUAUCACAGGCCACAACAGAGAAUGCACAACGGAACACACCCGUCCUCUCCGUCUAUCCCUCCUCGCGGAAAGUCAGAGUGAGGAUGCCAAAGGGGCUUAGGUUCCAUGCCAGGUCUGAGCUUCGGUGGCGGUCCUGUGCCAGAGGCCUGACAGAUGCCGAGUUUAUUGGGGAUGUUGACCUUCAGGAUGCUCACUCGGGUGGCAGAAAUCAAGGACAGGGAUGAAGCAUCCCUCGGAGGUCCCUCUCCCUCUGUUGAAAAAACCCCCUGAAAUAGUUGAAGGAUAGAUAGUGUUGGAGGCCCACAGGGCGGUUUCAAACCAUGCUCUGCAGUCGGGCCUGCGGUAAAGAGGUCCGACCCUCGGAAGAACCAGGAGAUGUGAGGACUCCAACUCAGGGCCAGGAUUGGGGAAGGCUUCCGGGAGCAAGGCUGAGCAGCCAGUGUCUGUGGGGCUCCCCGUCCCAGGCUCCAGUGUGUGCUGUCGGGGUGGGGGUGACAACCCCCAGCAAGGAACUGGGGAAACCAGGCCUGCUCUGAAGCCGGUCUUGACGGGAGAUGAGCCCAAAGAAAUGAGCUACUAAAAGGAAAGAAAUGGGGGCUCACACCCCAAAUUCCAUCCAGAGGGAGGGUGUGUAGAGACAGUGAGGAACUGCGGAGGGCUCCCCGGAUUCCAACACCAUGAGGUGGGGCCAGCCACAUCGUCUGUGCUGCAGGAUGAACACGUGGGGCCCCUGGCCAACAAGCACCAAAAAUUGCAAGAUGGUGCAACAGAGCAUGGCUACAGCGCGGGCCUCCUGCGUGGGCCCAUGUGACUGCACCGCAGCUCCCAGUGUCCAGAGGCCUGAGCCCUUCAGGACCUGAGCCUUGGCUGGUGCUGCCUUCCUUUCCCAGAGUCCUGGGCUCGUGGCAGGUAUUUUCUCAGGCGGACAGAGUUGCAGAGUGAGGAGCGGGGAAGGGCAGAGGCGAGGCCGUGGUGCAGGCUCCACAGCAUCGGCUGUAAAUCCCUCACAUCCUCCCUGGGCCCAGGAAAGCAUCCUGACUUCGGACCGGGUUCCUGUUUUCAUACCUUCCUGUGAGUCAGGCUGGGAUGAGUCUGCGCCCCGUCCAGACCGUCCCGGCCCUUAUCUGAUGGGAACGAGGCUCUGUGCACAGCCCUGCAGGGUUUGGGAGGCCUCAGGACUCAGAGAAAUAAACAGCAGCGAUGAUGUGGCUCCACGGUCCGGUCAGGGGAGGGCCGCGCUCCCUCAGAAGACACAGCCGCCGUGAACCCACAACGGCCAUCUGUGCAGGGGUGCGCUGUCCAACCUCCCAAAUGGACGUGCCCUUUAGAGGCUGUUAAACCCAGCAGAGGACGCCCAGCCCCUGCAGGCUGACCAAGGCGGUCGUGGUCCCCGGUGGAUGACCCCGGGCUGCGCCCUGCGGCCCAGGGGGCCCCCCGCCGGAGUCACGCUGCUCCUCAGCUCUUGUGGAGGCUGGAUUUGUGGGAUGUUAACCCCAGCCCGUGUUUAAUAUUUAAAAUUGAUGGUUCUUAAAUCCUUUGGCUCACUUGAGAGGGAGGCGGAGACCAUCAGCAUCCGAAAGCUAACCCUCCCCAGGGCCUUUAUCAAACUCCCAGUGGUCUCAGAAGGUCAGAGCUUCCCACAGUCACUGACCACGUGGGUGGGCAUCCCAGAGACCCACAGCCUCUUGGUGCCACGGCCAUCAUCCUCUGGGUUCAGAAGUGCACGGCCCCCCAGAGGAACCAGCCCCCACCAGAGCCAGUGAGCUCACCCGGAUAGGAAAAAGAUAAUUUCAUAUUUCAAAAAAGCACUUAAACAGCAAAAGUCCCUGCAGAAACCACAUGUGGAAAACCCACUUACAGACAGGCCAAAUCUCCAAACCGAGGCUCAGCGUCGCAACGGGUGCGCAGUGCCCAGCAGCCAGAGAACGGGGUAUGAGGGCAGAGGGCGCGCACCACAGUGUGAACCCUCGCCAGGCAACGCGCACACCAGGUGCCAUCGCCCCUCCCCGUGGGAACACUCCGCAACACCGAGGAGCCAAUGGUUCCCCUGAGAGCUGUGCUGUCUCCUGAGCAUCUCAGCCCAUCCAGGCCAGAGCCACCCGCAGGCCCGCCUUCCCCCGGGGAGCAGGUGGCCAAGUGAAGCUGAUGCUCUGGGCUCCGAGUUCCCCCCUCAGAAAGGUGGAGCUUUUUAAAUCAAACUGAACUUUCUCAAGUCACCUGUCACUGGGGAGGCUGCCAUGCAUUCAGAUGCCUGUGUGCACACCUGCCCUCCCUCGGAAACCUCCAGAACAAGGCAUUCAGUGUCUCCCAGCACAGUGCGGGCCCCUCCAAGGUGGCCGUGACUGAGUUUGUGAAAGGAAUUCUGAGUAGAUCCCACGACCCAGAUGAAGGAGAGAUCAGGGGCUCCAGGCUCCCGAAGGACUUGGACCCAUCGCCUCAUACUCUAGACACAGACUGGGCGGAGAAGGGAGUUAACAGACCGCUGACCUUGGCAGAGGCGCCUGGGGAGAAGGUGAGGGGUUUUCUCCCAACACUCGUCAUGAAAAUAGAAGCAGAAAUCUGGCUACAAGUGUGAAGCAUCGGAAGGACCCCUGCGUCUGCUGCGGCGGGCAGAGCAAGAUGGUCACCGAGGCUGCAGCCCGGGCUCUGCUGCCCCCUGGGUCCUGUGGUGGUGUUCAUGGGUGGAUGGUUCUAGGGGUGCCGACCCGGUGCCCCCAGGCUGGAAGCCUCCUCCUCGGACGGCUGGAAGGGGCGGGAUGUGGGCAGCUGAGGAAGCUGGGCAGCAGGACAGGAGGAAGGAUGGAGGAAGGAAGGAAGGAAGUCGCUCAGCUGGGAGGAGGCUGCAAGGUCUGCUCCGCUGCUGGACCACAGCCUUGUCCAGCCCCUGCUCCUGGCUGUUACCGACGUAGAAGGGCUUAGGCAGUAGGAUGUGACGUGCUCAGAGCCCGGAGAAGUGGCUCUGCAUGUCAAACCGUCGAGGACUCCCAAGGGAGACCACGUGGACCUCGCUCAUGAACACACCAGGUGGGCAACUCUGCCACCCGUGCCUGAGCCAGCCGCCCGGGAGCGCACUCUCACGAGCCGACACAAGCCCCUGGGGUGCUUUCUCUGCAAACAGCCGCCGGUGCCUUCGGACGGGCCCUGCCCGACCACUUCCACGUUUCAGCUGGAAGUGUGAAGACGGUUCUGCUGUCCUCUCCUCCCCGAAAUCUCAGGGAACAACAGGAAGUGGGACUGGAAACCAAAAUCUCAAUUCUGUCGUCAGCGAAACUGAGAGGCAUCCGAACUUGGAGACACAAGACCUGGGGCCGUUGCAGAAGGAGGGCAGAGCAGGACAGGACCCGAGGAAGGAUGGCUGUCAGGGCCAACAACACAGUCCGGAGCUCUCCACAGCAGAGCGUGCCCCCGGGAAGGCCAACCGCCCUUCUGGUGCUGCCCAGGACCCACGGGGAUGCACGUCUGAGAGGAGAGUGCCCUUGGCCCAUCACUGGACCCCUUGGGCACUGCAGAGCGGCAGGAAGAGACGCACAGAGAGGCCAUCAUUGCAGGAAGCAGUGUGUUGGCGAGGCUGAAGUCCUGCCUCACACACUCCACACACGCACACACACUCACACUCACAAUACCAGCACAUGGGCACAUACACCACGCACACUCACACACAUUUGCUCCACAUACGCUCACACACACCACACACAUUGUCUCAGGCACACAACUCUGCGUCACACGGAGCCCAGCCUUGACGUGGAGUCCCCCACCAGCCCUGCACCUGGCACUGGCCCCCCCCACAGCACAUAGCUCAUGCAGGAAGGACCCCUGUUGCUCCGAGAGGCUACAAGUGGAAUCGGCCCACCUCCUGGGGGCUCCUCCACAUGCUUGGGGCCCCGCAGAGGGGCAUCAUCAUCUGACUCAUCUGUUGGGUUGAUGUCGGCGUCGAUGCCCCCUCAUUGGAUGCUGUGGACGUGGCCUCACCUCGCCUCACAGUCAUCACAGAGACAGAGACACAAGGCCUCAAACCCCCUCCUGCCUCCUUCCCCCACAUCCCUGCGAAUCAUGUCCAGCCGACAGCCCGUCCGCUCCAGAAGCCAGUUAUCACUGGGGGCCGGGCGGGGGUCUUGGUGCAAACCCCACUCAGUCAAGGCCCCCGCAGAGUCUCUCAGGCAGCUCCUCUUGAGGAAAAUAUUGGGAAAUCGGUGAAAAUAUUUACAUGGAUUUUAUCUCUUUGUCCUGGUUUUGCCGUUUUUAUUUUCCUUUUGGUCAAUUCAUUUUAGUGAGAUGCAAAAUAAAUUGUUUACAUCUGAAUCUCAAAGACUGCGCUCCUCAGAGACACGGCCGGCCGGUGCAGGCUGUGGCCCAGCGCUCCCCCGACCAGGAGGCCAGUGCGGGGAUGGCGAGCUCCACACCACCCUCAUGCCUGUCAGUCCCUAGACGGGCUCGGCUGCAUCUCCUGCACCAGGACCCGCUGUCAAACAUGUGCAUCUUCACUAAAAAUAAAGCCACUCAGGACAUCGACCCAGCCAAGUCUCCCGAGGGCUGUGUAAAAAUUGUUCUCUGGGUCAACCUCAACCAUCAAAACAAUUCACAGGAGAAAAAGAAAGAUGGAAAGUAAAUACACUGAAACGUGAAUAAUCGUUGUCUUUGGGUGUAUUUACUCUUUCAUCUACUUUUCUGUGUUUUCCAGAUUUCUUAAAAUGAGAAUGUGUUACAAACAACAGAAGGGGCAGCCUUAGAAAGUUCAGGGUCAGUCUCCAAAGUAUGCCACCAGUUGAACCAGCUCACAGGAGGGAAGAAUCGAACCGCCACCAAGCCCCGGCAGGCGCAGGCAACCCUGCAGUGACCCUACAACAUGGGCACUGGGAUCCCCAUUUCCAGACGAGGAAGGGGAGGCCCAAGGACACACAGCCCGAGGUCCCAGACAGCUCGCACGGCCACCAGAGCUGAAGGGGCAGGAAGGACACUUGCUCCGAGACCUGGAAGGAAGCCAGCCCUGCCGACGCCUUGGUGUCGGACUUCUGCCUCUAGAAUUUUGAGAGAAGACAUCUCUGGGGUUUUAAGCCCCCAGUCAAUGGCCCUUGGGUAGGGCAGCCCCAGGACACUAACCCGCUCUCACCACUGUGGACAUCUGGAUGAGAUCAGGACUAAAGGAACGCGUGCACGAGAAGAGCCAUGGACAGGCCACGGACAGGCUACGGACGGGGUGCGCAGACAUGCCGUCUCAUCACGGCGGGGGCCCUGGGGUUCGCUGGGGAGACAUGAACGGAAAGGACUCUGCCUCCAUCCAGCGAGCAGCGCAUCCCUGAGACUGACCCACACGGCGCCUGUGCUGGCAGCAACGGUAACAGAACAAGCAACUCACCGCUGAGGCGUCACAUGGCCCCCACGUCCUGACACAAUCCGUGUGGCUUGCUAAUACCGGCCCUUGGCACGGCGAUCUCGGGGUCAGGAAAGGACAGCCUGGCCUGGGCGCGCGGAGGUGCAUCGUGGGGCCAUCACUUCUCCAUGUGGCUGCGUGUCGAGGGAGCUCUUCCUUCCAGCCUCAGGGUCCUGUGGACAGGCCUCUUGUUCUCCAGAAGGAGCUUGGCUCCCUUCAGACACCUGUGUGGGGAAAUAGCAGCUUCUUUAGUUUUAUUUUAUCGUGUGUUUCAAAUGUAGAAAAAUAAACAUCACUCUUUCCAUUUGAAACAAA